Molecule: small nucleolar RNA, 106 nt
Filed under: Gossypium arboreum
Lineage: Eukaryota; Viridiplantae; Streptophyta; Magnoliopsida; Malvales; Malvaceae
Description: Plant small nucleolar RNA R71
Rfam family: Plant small nucleolar RNA R71
About the family: R71 is a member of the C/D box family of snoRNAs containing the C (UGAUGA) and D (CUGA) box motifs. Multiple nearly identical copies of this snoRNA have been identified in Arabidopsis, and it is thought to function as a 2'-O-ribose methylation guide for 18S ribosomal RNA.
Source: Rfam by way of RNAcentral
AACCCAUGGUGAGGGCACCUUCUCAGCAAGUCCUUUAUCUCUCCCAUGCAUCGUAAAGUGUUUCUAAAUCCAUCUGCACAAAAGAAAAGAUAUCACUACGUAAUUU